Molecule: small RNA, 467 nt
Filed under: uncultured Glomus
Lineage: Eukaryota; Fungi; Glomeromycota; Glomeromycetes; Glomerales; Glomeraceae
Description: SSU rRNA
Rfam family: Eukaryotic small subunit ribosomal RNA
Source: RNAcentral
AGCAGCCGCGGUAAUUCCAGCUCCAAUAGCGUAUAUUAAAGUUGUUGCAGUUAAAAAGCUCGUAGUUGAAUUUCGGGGUCAGUAGGUUGGUCGUGCCACAGGUAUGAACUGGUCUCACUGAUUCCUCCUUCCUGAUGAACCGUAAUGCCAUUAAUUUGGUGUUGCGGGGAGACUGGACUGUUACUUUGAAAAAUUAGAGUGUUUAAAGCAGGCUAACGCUUGAAUACAUUAGCAUGGAAUAAUGAAAUAGGACGUUCGGUCUUAUUUUGUUGGUUUCUAAGAUUGACGUAAUGAUUAAUAGGGAUAGUUGGGGGCAUUAGUAUUCAAUUGUCAGAGGUGAAAUUCUUGGAUUUAUUGAAGACUAACUACUGCGAAAGCAUUUGCCAAGGAUGUUUUCAUUAAUCAAGAACGAAAGUUAGGGGAUCGAAGACGAUCAGAUACCGUCGUAGUCUUAACCAUAAACUAUG